Long non-coding RNA from Fundulus heteroclitus (mummichog), 2741 nucleotides. RefSeq lists it as uncharacterized. The transcript has 7 exons. NCBI's taxonomy places the organism in Eukaryota, Metazoa, Chordata, Actinopteri, Cyprinodontiformes, Fundulidae. The record is from RefSeq and is a predicted model, not a curated record.
UGUCGAGAAGAGUUGGAAACGAUAGCCAUCGAGGCUGCAUGGUUUCUGUAUAACCUGCUUUUUUUCUUUAAGUUUGAGAGGUUAUGCUUUUAAGGGCUCGGUGACUGGUUCCAAGAUGGCGCUCUGGAGGAGAGGCAAGAAAUUAUUUGCAAUACUGGAUAACAGGAGGUAAUGGUGGAAACAAUGUGGCGAUGGAGCGCUGGACAAGCAAGUGAGAGAAUGUAAGGACCGUGGUGUGACUCAGAAGGCAGUUCCUGGAAGGCGGGAUCAGAGACGCCGUUGGAGACUUCACACCAGAUUUCCAGGAUCGUACCACCAUUGAGUUUCAGGACAUGAAAGUGGCUCCUUAGAAGACAAUGAGCUAAGAAUCAUUACAGCUAAAAGCUAAGUUUUUUAUGGUAUACGCUGACGUCAUCUGUUGGCUGAUGGACUUUUCAACUUUAGGGUCUCAUAGGUGAUCCUGAUCAUGGGCCACUGGAACUUCAGGGACUUCCCUAAGUGUAACAGCAGGACGAUGGAUGGAUGGAUGGAUGUCUGAGGAAAUCUCCAGUAGCAGCUUUUAAGUUCCAGUCAUCUGAAAACCGGUAUGAGCAUCCAGUUUGUUACUGUCUUUUGAGGAGAGCACUCUGGUAACAAGUUAAUGCAGGAAUAACUUCAUUCCCUCAUAAGAUUGAUAUAAAAGCAUGCAGUAAAAACCCAAGAAUGAAAUAAUUGAAAGGUUGAAUUGAUGAUUGAAAUAAUUAUUCCUGUAAUGCUGGAAUAAUUAUUUCUCAAUACAUUUUCCAUUAAGCAAAACAGCAAGUCCAGAGUUUGUUUACCUUGCAUAUCUUUAUCUUGAGUGUGUUCAGUCUCAAAGUGACCCUCAUUUUCUCUUUCCCUGUAUAGAAGGACAAUAGUGAUACUGCAGCUUGAUGCCAGCUGACGAUGAGGAGGUCAUCCUGAAGGUUUUCAAUUCCAGUCACAUCCUGUUGUUAUCUACAAGUAAAAAUAUGGUCUCAGUCAUUGGUUUUAAUUUAUUCUCAUUUAUUCUUGUUUAAUGCUCAUCUUGUUUAAUGCUCAUCAUAUUACAUUUGGCCUGUGGAACACCGCAGUUGUAAUUUGCACCACCAUCCAGCUGCUUUUGACCAUGAGAUGUUGAUCUUGUAUUUUAUCAUCCAGUUCACUGUUUACAUCUCAUCAUCCAACAUCUUAGACGGGAUCACUGCCUUCCGGAGCUACUGCAAGCAUGGGCAAUCAUCUGCCUCCACCUGCUGGCCAGUCCCACCAGGACCGAUUUUGAUCCAGUCCCAGUCACUAACACAAAUGUUCUGCUUUAAAAAAUACUGUAUAAGCUUCACAGGAUUUGGACCCUCAGCUUGGUCAGCUUGUUAAUUUAUCAUUAUUGUAAGCUUCAAAUUUACUGAAAAAUUCUCAUCAACAAAGGUAAUGCUUCAAAUUAAAAUAACCUCAAAUAUGUCAUAAUCUAAUCCUAAAACUACACAGUCUCAGAAAUCUUCUAUAGUAACUCAGAGAAUGGCUCUGUUGAUAAUCAAACCUCUUUCAAAUGAGACCUUUUCAAUCCAUGAGUAGAUUUUAGAUUUUAAAAUGUAUUGCACUUGUUUAAUAUAAAGUUGAUUAUGUAACGUAUAAUAUAAAGAAACUGUUAUUUCUUACAAACUACAAAUUUACAUUUUCUAUAAAAGAAAAAUGAGGAGGCACAGCAACUAUUCUGUCUAGAAAUUUGGUUUAAAGGACAUUUCUCUUUCUAAUUACCUCAGUUGAAUAUCCUUAUCUCUGAAGUCUUUGUUGGUUAGUGAGGAAACACUAACCAACACUUACUAACACAUCAAUUUCUUGAUUGAUGCUGAAAUGCUAAGCAGACCUAAUUGUUAAAUAAAACAGACAUCACAUCAUUUAGACCAAUACCCACAUUUUUUUUAUCUAUUUAACUCUUUUCAAAAUUAUGCAGUUAAUAUUUUAAGCUGUUCUCUUCAGAUGGGCUUUUUUUCUCUGCUCAUCUUUUUUUAGGCAAAGUUUUAGAGAAGAUUGUUUUUAAUAAACUAACCUCUUAUUUAAACUAUUAACAACAUUAUAGAAAAAUACCAGCCUGGUUUUAGACCCCCCUCAUACCACAGAAGCUGGACUACUAAAGAGUUUAAACAACAUGAGAUCUUACUCAGACAGAUUGAGCUUUUUUUAACGGUUCUGAAUUGAUUUAACUUCUAUCUCAGGAAAAUAAAGUUAUUUAUCAACAUAGGACAAAAUGCUAUGACAUAAGCUACAGUGAUGUUAAAAGCAAACAACUUGGUUUUUAAUCUGUUCUUGUCUAUUUAGUUGUAAUUUUAGUAACUUUUACAUUUUUACUUUUAUUUCUGUUGAAGUUAUUAAUAAUAAAUGCAAGUACUGCAAUAUUUUAAAAAAUACUUUUCUUUAUAAUUUCAGAUUGCAUCAUUUAUAACAAUUAUUUAUGGGAUUUUUCAUCUGGAUUAUUACUUAUUAAAUGUACAUAUGUCUCCAGUGUUUUCUUGCUAGUCUACUCAAUUAUAUUCCCACAGCGCCUCAUCUGCUAUAAUUUACUAAUUCUUGCAUUGUUUCAUUACCGUAAAUUGCUGGUUUUCUCUUGAUUUAAUAAUUUUGAUAAUUUUCUUGUUUCUCUUGUGAGUAAACCUGUCUUUCUGUUUUUUACCUCUAUAAAGCACCUUGUUUUACACCUGGCUGUACAAAUGUUACUGUAUAAAUAAAUAUUUGAUUGAUUUAUGUGU